This 253-nucleotide ribosomal RNA is filed under the name uncultured bacterium. RNAcentral's name for it is "partial 16S ribosomal RNA". It matches the Rfam family "Bacterial small subunit ribosomal RNA", at positions 524 to 776 of the family's 1533-position model. The record is from RNAcentral.
UACGGAGGGAGCUAGCGUUGUUCGGAAUUACUGGGCGUAAAGCGCACGUAGGCGGCUUUGUAAGUUAGAGGUGAAAGCCCGGGGCUCAACCCCGGAAUUGCCUUUAAGACUGCAUCGCUUGAAUCCGGGAGAGGUGAGUGGAAUUCCGAGUGUAGAGGUGAAAUGCGCAGAUAUCAGGAGGAACACCGGUGGCGAAGGCGGUUCUCUGGGCCUGUACUGACGCUGAGACGCGAAAGCGUGGGGAGCGAACAGG